UGGUUUAGACCUGCUGUAAAUGCCUAAGUCCUGUUGGCCAGAUUUGGACCCGUUACACUAGGAAUGGUACCUGCAGGUCUGACCCCUGCCUCCUUUCUGCUUUGAUCUGUGGCAACUGAAAAGAUUGUAUGGGAGGAAAAACACAGAUCCUGUCUCUGGUUCCUGAGUUAUUGCUGUAACAUUUCCAUCUGGAACACAGCUUGAGCACGAGAAACAUUGCUCUGAGGCAGCAGCCAGGUGUAUCACUAUAAAGGUAGUGACAUCUCAGGUGUGAUGGUUCACAGCGAACAGUUUGGACAGCUGUAUGGACCACUCCUCCACCAACCCUGUGAUGCUCUUCUGUGAAACUGUGCCACCUCUUACACACUGGUCAGUCCCUCUCUUCUGACCCAUCUUGAUGUC
This is a long non-coding RNA of Calidris pugnax (ruff), 402 nucleotides long. RefSeq lists it as uncharacterized. NCBI's taxonomy places the organism in Eukaryota, Metazoa, Chordata, Aves, Charadriiformes, Scolopacidae. The record is from RefSeq and is a predicted model, not a curated record. The transcript has 3 exons.